Molecule: long non-coding RNA, 352 nt
Organism: Marmota monax (woodchuck)
Lineage: Eukaryota; Metazoa; Chordata; Mammalia; Rodentia; Sciuridae
Exons: 2
Source: RefSeq, a predicted model, not a curated record
CAGGUGUCUCCUCCAGGAGUAACUUCCGAUACGUCACAUCCGGCAGAACUUCCGCCCCGGCCCGCUGUCUAGCUAGGCACUCAAUUCCGCUGAAUCAUCUGCUUCCACUUAUGAAGACCAGCUUUCCUCAAGGUGGUGAAAUGACUGUGGCUGCUUGCUUUAACAUCUACACACUGUGUCCACCCUCAGAAACAAUGAACACAGUAAUUCCAAGGAGACUCUCAGACUAGAAAAGAGAAAAAUGCACAUUAAUAUCUGAACCAGAUCUGCUACUCUGUACAAUUUUAACUUUUCAACUGUAGUUAAUGGGUUUACAUUAGUCACCAUUAAAUUUCAUACUGUCAUAAACUUA